Molecule: long non-coding RNA, 1109 nt
Organism: Notolabrus celidotus (New Zealand spotty)
Lineage: Eukaryota; Metazoa; Chordata; Actinopteri; Labriformes; Labridae
Exons: 2
Source: RefSeq, a predicted model, not a curated record
CUAAACUGGAGAAACAAUUGACUAGAGUAGAACACAAGAAUAAAACACAACACAUGGAUCACUAUAACAGUAGGAAGACAUUGGAGGAAACAAAGCAUGAAACCAAAGGUAAAUCUACAAAAUCAAACAGGAAACAAAAAAGAAAACAACACAGUAUGAACUUAGCAGCAAGUCAAAUGGGAGAAAAAUAUACAAAUUAUAAACAUAAACAUACAAAUAUAUCUUCAUACACCUACGAAAAAGAAGGCUACUUUGAAGAAUAUAGAAUAUAAAACAUAUUCUGUUUAGUUAACACUUUUAUGUUUACUACAAAAUUCCAUAUGUGUUCCUUCUUAGUUUUUGUGUCUUCAACAUGGAUCUACAAUGUAGGAAAUAAUAAUCAAAACUCUUUAUUGCUUGAAUUGUGUUUUAUUGUGACACUGACUGAGGAGUAGCUGUAUUAUUGUGUCCUGGAGGAACUUGGCUCAGCAUGUGGCAAAUACAGUAUAUUGAGGUAAUCCAGUUAAUAUAAUCAGAAACUUAAUCUCACUGAAUGUAUUACCAAGCUGGCAUUUAAAAGCAGACUUGUACAAAGAUAGGCUUUAUGUUGAAUACAGUAUAAUAAACAAAAACUCAAAACUCCUGUCAGUGAAUGGGGACUUUGAGGACAAGAAGCUCCUGUGAUGCAUGAUAAAGCAGUACGAUCCUCUGCUGAGGCUUGUACCCAACAGGAGGCGUCCCCACAUCUGGUCUCAGGGUACAGGACGAUAUGAAUCUUUUCCCACUUACUUGUCGUUCAGACCUUCCUACCCACAGAGUUCAUCUCAGGGGAAAUCCACCUGGAGGACAAGCUUCUCUUAUUCGCUGAAUCCUAAAGGAAGACAGAAAGGUGUUCAAUACCUGCAGAGACAAACUCCUUUAUCAUCAACUUGAAUAUCAUCCCAGUGUGAGAUUCACCAGUGAAAACUUGGGUGAAGCCGGACAGACUGGAAAUAUUCACAUUUCCCUAGAACCAGAGCAAAGCCAUUAAACUCUCACAGCGCACAUUUCAAUUUGUGCUGCUGAAAACCUACAUUGCCUUUACAAAUUUACCAUAAAUGAAUGCUUAUAACAUGUGAUGUGUAAAACAA